CGUCGCUCACGAAACGCUUUCUACUUCAACGAAACGUAGGCGCUGUGCUUGGAAUAGUUCGAAGAGGGCAAGGCAGCGUGUGGUUUUCAGCAUGCGCUGUCAGCCGAGUCAAGCGGCCCCUAAGAAUCGCUGUGCGCACGGGCUGCUGUAGUAGCCACCAUUCGUGGGCAACACGUGAACGCUGCUGGGCGCUUUUCUUUUUCCUCCAAUGGAGUUUGCAGUCAGCCUAUACAGUGGGUGGACCGUGGGGCUACUUUCGGUGUCGGCAAUAAAGCGCCACCGUGACACUGGCAGCCACAGGAAACUUCAGUGCCUUCUGCGCAAGCGGCUUUAUCUCUUCAACCUACGAAGUAAUUGAGCACACUGAUGCAAUUAUCUGCUAAAAUAAAGUGCGUUUUCAGUUGGUUUCCCUGUCGCCGACCUAAAUGUUUAUUUAGCCGCUUCAUUUGUUGAGAUAUUACUUCGGCUGCCACUCAGUUCGUCUCCUCCUGUCGCUUUCAUUGCACGUGCGUGUUUUUUUUUUCGUAUGUUCUGCAUUACAAAAUUUUCUGUCUGUGCACGCGAACGUUCCCGUAGCGUCGGAAAAACUGAGGAAAGGACAACGGGCGAGUGCGCGGCUGUUUGGCGCGGAAACCAGGGGAGCAACACAAGCGCGAAAUAUCUCCAUUUCACAGCGGACGAAAGUAUAUACCAAGGAAACGGGAGGUCCUGGCGUUGAAUAGGUUCACCGGUCUCCUGCAGCAGCGACGUGAACAGGAUCCACUGCCGCUGGCUCGUGUCAAGCCACUGGUGCCAAUUGCGAGCAACGUAGUCGAUACAGUGCUGCAGCGUUGCCGGUGGCAUGAACACUCCGUUAUGUCUCCCCGCUGUCUGCUGCUCCAACUGGGAUGUCGGUUGGCCAGGGUGUCCUGCAGGGUGGAACCUCCUUGCUCUGCAUGUUGAAGUGCAGAUAUAUAUUCUUUAAGUUGCUCGGCCGCUCAUAUGGGCAGAUAUGUUUUGCUACGUUUUGAUAUUAUUUUAUAUCUGCGAUGCGCCGUUUCCACAAUAUUAACGACCCACAAUUACUACAAAUAAUGAUCCACAAUUAAUGAUCUGUGGCUGUAGGUGUUGACGUAAAGAAAUCCACCACUUCGGUUAAUGCGACGCGCAAGGCUGCGCUCUAAGACUUAGUGAACAUGCUAGAUGUCUAAAGAAUGUGUAAAAGUGAUGCAAAAAGCGAGUUCCAAGAGCGUAAAUCUCCACCAACAAACUCCGUGGCAGCCGCGUCUGCAGAAGGAACUCUGCGCGCCUUUAACGACCGCCGUAUGACGCGAGAGCGCGCUGUGGUUUGCUCAUCCAGUGGUCUGUGAGUGUGGCAUGGCUUCCUGCUACGACACGCUUCCCAGGGGAAGCCAAUCUAGAUGCACGAAACGCAUAACCGACGCGCACUGAACAUGGGGCAGCUGCGGAAAUACACGGGCGAAAGCCCCGGCGCCCUUCCAAAGCGUUGCCGGCGCCAUGCGAGAGAAGGCGGCGCAGCAAAGUGAGAGCGUCGGAUUAGUAACGAAAACAACUUUUGUAAGCUGGACAUUUUCAGUCUUUUCCUGAGCCUUGGAAUAAUUUGCUAGUACUGAACUUCACAAAGCACAAUUCGAUGAAGCAUCAGCGUAAAUUCAAGCGUUAACAAAUCUGAAACUAUACAAACACAUUGUUUCGUUGCGAAGUUCACCUGCAUUUGUAAGUGUGCUUUAAGACUCGAAAGGAACACUAGUCACUACUAAUCAAUGCUUAAAAAUCGGCUACAUAGCAAUUAGAUUCCAUGCAAUUACGUUGACAGGCAUUAAGAUUGGGUAUUGUCGUCUUUCUAUUUAUGCUGAUGGUACAGGGAUUCGAACGGGAAACAGCCAACUUUGCAAAAAAAAAAAGCCUUUAUGUCAACAGUAUUGAAUUUCUAUACUGCAUACGAAAUGGAAUACUGCAUACUGCAUUUAAUGAAACGUUUCAUUAAGGUAACUUGAUCACAGCAGGUCACAUCACAGCAGAUCACAUCACAGCAGAUAAGCACUCCUUUAUCAGAAUUCACAUGCUUUACCGAUUAAUUACUUGCACUGAUGUCAUUGACAAACUUUAGGUUCACUCACAAAGCAGCAGUAUGCCAAUAACAGGUCCACAUUUCAAAUAUUCAGACUUGUUUGCUAUUGAUAAGCAGCGCCGUAAAUGGCAAGCUUAUUCUGGCUUGAAUUGUCCCGCAUGGAGCACGUGGGUUGUGCUGCGCGCUUGACCCCGAACGCCAAUUAGACGCUCUCGCGCGAGAACGUUGCGGCGUUCGAAGCUUUAUAUAACGUCUAGUUUAUAUGAACUGGGCUAUUUGUGUGUUUGCUUGAUGAUGAGCAUUACGAUUAUGAGUAUUUUUUCGUAGACAGUUUAGGGCAUGUUCUUACUAAUUUUGCAUGCGCAUGUUAUGAUGCGUUGUACGUUGACUUCGUAAGCGGCGCUAGGAACCAGGGUGCGUUAAUUUCGUCUUCCCGAUUUCCGUAGCCCCGACUGUCUGUCGUGCAGUAUGCUGAUUCCUGAGAGCUGUGGAAAACAGGCGGCAAGCAAUUAUUUCUGCCGGAAGUAGUUGCAAACGGUUUCAUUUUCAUUUUUUUCUUUUUUCUUUUACAGUUCCAGAGCAGUGUGCUCACCGGAAGUGGCAAUGAUGCCGAGGAUCUCCCCAGCACGGACUUCGAAUGGCAGUCCCUCGAUUUGGAGCGAAACAUCCGGACAGCCAUUGAACCAGGCUGGAGAGGUUCAGCUCGAAGGUCAGGUCUUGAACCUGCGUCAGAGCGGCCACAUUUACCGUCACGACGACGUGGCCAUUCGCACCAUUGCUGAGAAUUACGACAAACGCGUGGUUACACACACACACAAAUAAAAAGACCGAAAACACCGCUUGCCAAAAGGCCAGAAGACGACGGUGGCCGUGUGUAACGUGCAAGACGACUCGUUCUUCGUGUACCACUAGUCGAACUAAUAAGUGUUUGCGGGAUCGUUCCUGGGUAGCCUAAGGAGAGUUUUGGGUCGGGUAAUCGAAAUAGAGCGCCGAUAACAGGAAGGCUUACCGAGUUAUGAAGUUGGCAAAAAGAGAGGAAAGAAGAGUGUAACGUUGGUGGAUGGCAGGAAUAGCUCAAGGAGCGGAAAACCUGGCACUAUUGCAAAAUUUGGUGGAGAUGUUCACAGCAGCGUAUGUUGCUCGCGUAUCGUGUUUUUCACCAAGCCACAAAGGUAGUUCACGGCCGGUCUAACCAUGUAUGGCAUAAUGAGCCUUCCUUAUACUGUGCCGUUUUUGACUCAGAAAUUCAAAUUUGUGCACGUGAUGCAGAAGUAGCGGUAUUAAGUGGCAGUAGACAAAUAUCAGCUGUGAAUAGCUUUGGAAUCCAAUUGCUAACUUGAUGGCUAAUUGUGUAAAACAGCGUGUGGGAGUUACGCGGGUAAACGCACUCUAGUACUGCUGGUGCCAGUGUUGUUGGAUGCUGUGAACAGCAAACUGCAAAGUAAGUGUUUGACACCAGCAGCGAGCGGCCUCGUAAACUGACAGCGAAGGCUGAUGUGACAGGUGAAUUCUACGGAGAUAUUCACAGUGCGUCUUGACGACGCACCGUACGUUGAGUACGUUAAUAUCGAGUCUUUUGGCACACCUCUGAACUGGCGCCUGUGUGUUGUGUAGCCCGGAAAGGUAUAGGCGCCAUUGGCAUUGGGCGUGGCCUAAACAAUUGCAUAAGAACGAAGAGCUUCUUUAAUAGCGCGUGUAUUGCUGUUUCGUACUUUUAUCGCGUCGUUUUCUCCAGUUAUUCACCCAUUUCUCUUGGAAUAAUCAGCUGUGCGCAGUGCUUCGCAUAAGGCUUCCAUAAAGCUGUCCCAAAUGUUCUGCCUCUAGAAUCGAGAUCUAUUCCUCGUGCAGCUGUAGCUUUUUCGCGCGCUCGCACAUUCUUUGGGAUUCGCCGUUAAGACGUUCCGAAACUAAUUUCCCCGUCAAUAAUUUUGACGUGCGUACUUUGAAUAUACUGCCGAUUGGUGAUCUGUGGUGUGCCAUUUUUUCCUGAUACGACAUUACUGCCACAGCGCAGUUUCAUGUGCGACAUAUGCGCACAUGUAGAAUGAACGAAAAGCUGAGGAAGAUGUUACCCUAUAGGCGGAGCGUCCUCUUGAUUUUAUUUGUACGUAUUCUUUGACACGCCCAGAGAAAUACUUCACCUCAUGUAAGAAUGCUUAAGAGCCUGGAAAUAAACUUGGC
Molecule: long non-coding RNA, 4252 nt
Organism: Dermacentor andersoni
Lineage: Eukaryota; Metazoa; Arthropoda; Arachnida; Ixodida; Ixodidae
Source: RefSeq, a predicted model, not a curated record